GUGAAUCAUCGAAUUUUUGAACGCAAAUUGCACUCUCCGCGAGGAGUAUGGCUGUGUGAGUGUCAGCGUAUAAAGAUCGACAUCGUUGCUGUUUCGCGUGGGCGUUCGUCGUAAAUUGGGGCAUCGUACAUCCUUUUGAUUUAAGCGACUUAAAAUUUUCUUUUGGUUCCAUGAACGUUUCUAAGAUCUAUUUCUUACACGUUUAAGGUAUCAAUUUUUACUUUACGUUACCUUCAUAUCG
This 241-nucleotide unclassified non-coding RNA is filed under the name Glomeraceae sp. RNAcentral's name for it is "partial internal transcribed spacer 2". The stretch from base 1 to 65 matches the Rfam family "5.8S ribosomal RNA", at positions 84 to 154 of the family's 154-position model. Lineage: Eukaryota; Fungi; Glomeromycota; Glomeromycetes; Glomerales; Glomeraceae. The record is from RNAcentral.